GACGGAGGGUGCAAGCGUUGUUCGGAAUUACUGGGCGUAAAGCGCGGGCAGGUGGCCUUUUAAGUCCUUUGUGAAAUUCCGGAGCUCAACUCCGGAUGUGCAUAGGAUACUGGAAGGCUAGAGACUGGUAGAGGCGAGCGGAAUUCCUGGUGUAGCGGUGGAAUGCGUAGAUAUCAGGAAGAACACCGGUAGCGAAGACGGCUCGCUGGGCCAGUUCUGACACUCAUCCGCGAAAGCGUGGGGAGCAAACAGG
Molecule: ribosomal RNA, 253 nt
Filed under: uncultured bacterium
Lineage: Bacteria
Description: partial 16S ribosomal RNA
Rfam family: Bacterial small subunit ribosomal RNA
Source: RNAcentral